Long non-coding RNA from Vidua chalybeata, 2810 nucleotides. RefSeq lists it as uncharacterized. The transcript is spliced from 2 exons. The record is from RefSeq and is a predicted model, not a curated record. Lineage: Eukaryota; Metazoa; Chordata; Aves; Passeriformes; Viduidae.
GCACGUGGACAGCAUAUGAGAAGGAAGCUGAUUGGAUGAUAGGACGCAUGGACAGCAUAUGAGCAGGAAGCUGAUUGGAUGGUAGAAUGCAUGGACAGCAGCAUGGCAGCUGAGCCAGCCAAUGGGUGCCUGCUUUCUGUUGAAUUCUGUUAGGUCUCGGAUUGGUUUCAGUUAUGUCAGGUAGAGAUUAAAGGUAUAAAAAGGGUGUGAUUUCUACAAUAAACUGAUCUCCUUCAGCUGCAUGAGGGAGUCUGUGUCACUUUGUUCCCCACUGCUACAAAUGGCUGGCCCAAAUUGGGACCUAUAAGGUGGUGCAGGGUGUGCAGUCUGCUCCAGCUGCAACUCCCACUAGGUCAAGGAACGAGCCGGGAAGAGUCCAGAAAAGGAUCCAGGGAAGGAUCUGGGAAGAGUUCAGGAAGGAACACAGGAAUAUAAAAGCAUGCACACCUCACCUGGACGGUGAAUAGACCAGUGGAAGCAAAUACGGAAGGUGGAAUAUCCCUGGAACAAAGCAGGAGCUUGGGCCAGGUACGGUAGCUCCUACAUCAGCAAUCUGCUAAUAUGGCUGAUGUGAAACUAAGCCCCCUGCUGGACUGGGUGUCUAAUCACAUUAAACAUUUUCCCUGUAAUGGACCCCUUCAAUCAGAAACCUGGCAAGCGGUAGGACAGAGACUUUUCACUACAUCAGGGACAAUCACAGCAGCUAUUAAAGGAAGUCACACGAAUGUCAGCCAUUACACAGCUUCAGAAGCUGAUUCCCCUGAACCCUCAGCACCACCAGAACCCAUAGACGACCCCAAGAUUGACCCAAACCCUGCAGAAUUGCCUUAUCCUGAGAUUAACCCAAGCCCUGCAGAACUGCCUUACUCCGAUAAAAAUCCCUGCGUGGCUGGCCCCUCAGUGUGAAAUUCCCACAUCGCGAGGAGGCAGCGGGCUCACUCCCUGCCCAAAAGGGCAACACAGUAGUCCAGCGAUGGCAAAAAUGCUGGGAAGACACCAUGAAGGAGGGCAAAUUCGCAGUCGCUACAGCCUGCCCGGUAAUAUAUGUGCCAAACCAGCACGCAGCGUACCGAGAGCUAGACUAUAAAGUAAUUAAAGAAGUGGGGAUGCUACUAAAAGAAAGUGGCUUAUCCUCCCAUCACGCCCUAACCUACCUAUCAGUACCACAUACGUCCUCACUCCCCACAACUGGAAAAGCAUAAUGAAAAUUACCCCAACAGCAGCGCAGUUUGCAGUCUGGCUAACCGAUUACCGAGAGCUGUGUACAGCCCAAGUGCUGCAGGACAGAAAUUCACCAAUUGCCACUGCGCAGCUGAGCAGAGAGAAUGCUUCCGCAGUCCCUGCAGCACAGGCAGCCUACCCACAUGAUAUUUUACAGGAUCCAGCGGAGUCGUUCAUGCAGCUCCUGGACAGACUGCAUGCCACGCUCUCCCAACAAGUCAACAAUGAUGAGGCCAGAACUAUUCUGUGGCAGCAACUUGCUUUCAUAAACACGAAUGAAGAUUGUAGAAAAGCAGGGCUUGCUGUUCAUAAUCCACAUAUUUGUGAUCUUUGUGACACAUUUGCAGAUAUGGUCAGAGCAUGCCGAAAUGUGGGAACUGCUGCUUAUAACUAACUAACUCUCUGGCAGCAGCUUUAGCUGUGCACUUCUGGGCUCCGGACACACAUGUAGGGGUCAGAGCUGGCUGGCCCCAGGACAGGGAUCGGGGUGAGCAGGGCUCAGGACAGUCCUGGCAGGCAUGUUGGCAGUGCUCGGCUCGCUGCAGGUGGCCCGCAGCACCAGGAGCCCCCCAAGCAAGCCUCUGCUGCAGCCCUAUCCCCAUGGCAGCACAGCCACAGGCACAUCAGGGACUGCCAGCCCAUCAAGUACGGCAAUGUCACACACAAAGCAUGGCCCAGUGACAACAGCACAGCCGGCCCGGUGGCUGCCACCGGAACAUUUGUAUCGUACAUCCACCCAGAAGCAGCAGCCAGAGCACGGGGCCAGAGCACGGGGCCACUGGCAGCAGAAGCAGCUGAGCCGCACUCCUCUGAGGCACAAGGCUGCCAGCAGCAGGUGGGCGGCUCCCCCAGGGCAGGCACUGCCAUAGCACAGCUGUCACUGGGGGCCGGGCCAAGCAGUGGGGAUAUCACUGCCACAGCAGCUGAGUGACAGUUGGGAGCGAGGCUGUGAUUGGCUGGAGGGACACGUGGACAGCGUAUGAGCAGGAAGCUGAUUGGAUGAUAGGACGCAUGGACAGCAGCACUGCAGCUGAGCCAGCCAAUCGGUGCCGCCUUUCUGUUAAGUUCUCUUAGGUCUCAGAUUGGUUUCAGUUAUGUCAGGUAGAGAUUAAAGGUAUAAAAAGGGUGUGAUUUCUACAAUAAAUUGAUCUCUUUUGGAUACAUAAGGCGGUCCACGUAGUUUGUCCCCCAUUGCUACACCCAACAAACCCAAAUGGGUGAGCAUGUUACUCUGUGAAGUUUUUAGAGACAGCGUUUUCAAAGCCAAACACUAUUUCAGCCUUCAAAAAUGCACAAAAAAAGCACAAAAGCCCCCAUGACAAACUACAAGAAUGAAUGUUUGUCUGCAUCUCAACAAGCUCUUCUCAGUAUGGUCAAACCCAGCUAGCACAGAACAAACACCUUGCUUUGUGCAGGGUAUUAGACAGUCUCUAAGCAGAAUCUUUCAUGCCAUUUCUCCCAAAUCACCAAGGCUCCUAACUUUCCGUCAUGGGCUCUUCUAGAUUUUAAAACUCUUCUAAUUUCAAUUUUGAGAAUCAAAAGUAUCACUCAUAUCUAACAUAUAAAAAAUAAAGGACCCAGUGUUAUAA